ACGAGUGGCGGACGGGUGAGUAAUGUCUGGGAAACUGCCUGAUGGAGGGGGAUAACUACUGGAAACGGUAGCUAAUACCGCAUAACGUCGCAAGACCAAAGAGGGGGACCUUCGGGCCUCUUGCCAUCGGAUGUGCCCAGAUGGGAUUAGCUUGUUGGUGGGGUAACGGCUCACCAAGGCGACGAUCCCUAGCUGGUCUGAGAGGAUGACCAGCCACACUGGAACUGAGACACGGUCCAGACUCCUACGGGAGGCAGCAGUGGGGAAUAUUGCACAAUGGGCGCAAGCCUGAUGCAGCCAUGCCGCGUGUAUGAAGAAGGCCUUCGGGUUGUAAAGUACUUUCAGCGGGGAGGAAGGGAGUAAAGUUAAUACCUUUGCUCAUUGACGUUACCCGCAGAAGAAGCACCGGCUAACUCCGUGCCAGCAGCCGCGGUAAUACGGAGGGUGCAAGCGUUAAUCGGAAUUACUGGGCGUAAAGCGCACGCAGGCGGUUUGUUAAGUCAGAUGUGAAAUCCCCGGGCUCAACCUGGGAACUGCAUCUGAUACUGGCAAGCUUGAGUCUCGUAGAGGGGGGUAGAAUUCCAGGUGUAGCGGUGAAAUGCG
Molecule: ribosomal RNA, 603 nt
Filed under: Escherichia coli
Lineage: Bacteria; Pseudomonadati; Pseudomonadota; Gammaproteobacteria; Enterobacterales; Enterobacteriaceae
Description: bacterial SSU rRNA
Rfam family: Bacterial small subunit ribosomal RNA
Source: RNAcentral